ACUAGAAGUCGCUGAGCUAACCCUUUCGGGAGGCAAGCGCCUACGGUAUGAUUAGUGAUUGGGGUGAAGUCGUAACAAGGUAGCAGUAGGUGAACCUGCAGAAGGAUCA
This 109-nucleotide ribosomal RNA is filed under the name uncultured eukaryote. RNAcentral describes it as "partial small subunit ribosomal RNA". It matches the Rfam family "Bacterial small subunit ribosomal RNA", at positions 1419 to 1525 of the family's 1533-position model. The record is from RNAcentral.